Molecule: transfer RNA, 72 nt
Filed under: Nitrososphaerota archaeon
Lineage: Archaea; Thermoproteati; Nitrososphaerota
Description: tRNA-Ala
Rfam family: tRNA
About the family: Transfer RNA (tRNA) molecules are approximately 80 nucleotides in length. Their secondary structure includes four short double-helical elements and three loops (D, anti-codon, and T loops).
Source: RNAcentral
GGGCUGGUAGAUCAACGGUAGAUCGCCGCCAUGGCAAGGCGGAGGCUCCGGGUUCAAAUCCCGGCCAGUCCA